GUUACUGAGAGGAUCCUUCUGGGCUAGCAUCCUCCAUUUGGCUUGAAUCGGACUCUUUUUUCUUUAUUAUAAAUUGAUUCUUUCUGUCAACACUGCUAGACGUAUGCUGCAGGAUAUCAGAGAAACCCACCUGUGAUCACCUAGAGUCUUACUUUGGACCAGCGCUUGGUACCAAGCACAAGUCCCUUGAGCCCCCGGCUUCACAGCACCUUUCAGAUAUUUGGGCUCAAGAAAUCACUGCGAAAGAAGAGAAACAGGUGUGGCAACAAAAAGGGGGAUGUUUGACCACUUCACACAAACAUGGUUUGGACUUGAUAAAAAAAACAAAAACCUAUAGUGCCUGUUGAAACAUGGUUGCUAUUACUCCAGCAUGUACAUUAUUUAACCUACUAGGAAACUGAGAGAAUGGUUUUAUGGAGAAAACAGUAUUUUUGGAAACUUUCUCCUACAGUGGCUCAUAAAGUAUAUACUCACUGUACUAUACGCUCUAAGUAUAAUCCUGGAAAACCACUUCAUGGGUCACAAGGCCACUUGCCCCUUCCUAAAGGAUUCUUUGAAAUACAUCAGUUGGACUUUGUCCAAAGUCCACUAUCUCAAGGAUAUAAAUACAUCUUAGUAAUGAUCUGCAUGUUUUCACACUGGAUUGAAGCUUUUCCCUACAGGAGAGCAACAGCUUUAACAGUAGAUAAAUUGUUAUUUGAAAGGGUAAUUCCUGUUUGGGGAACUCUUUCCGAGUUAUAUAGUAACCAGGGAACUCACUUUACCAGACAAAUAAUUAAAUCUAUUUGUAACAUUUGGCCAAUAAGGCAGCAUUUUCACUGUGCUCAUCAUCUUUGGUAGAAAGAACUAACAACACUACCAAAACUGAAUUGGCAAAACUUUCAGAAGCAUUUAAUCUCUCAUAGACAAAAGUUCUUCUGCCCUUGCUUCUCAACCUUAGAACUUCACCUUUUGGUAAACAUCAUCUGUCUCCUUUUGAAUUAAUAGCAGGAUGGCUUAUGUGACUGAGUGAGGGAAUAUAUAAACCAAUCUUACUCAAAAGAGAUCUAUUGCAUUACUGUUGGGGUCUUAUUAAGGCACUUAAAGGAAAUGAAAAGUUGAUAGCUAAUUUCUUUCACAGUGAGCUGUCAGGAGACAAAGACCUUACAGAUCAUGGAUUACAACCUGGAGAUUUUAUUUAUUGGAAAAGACAUCAAAUGGAUUCUUUGCAGCCAUGUUGGAAAGGAAAAUGGUAUUAUUAACUAAUCCACGCACUGCCAAACUAAAAAGGCAUAGAAUCAUGGGUUCACAUCUCUCAUUUUAAAAAAGCACCCUCCACCUAAGUGGACUUUAACCAUUGUUUCUGACACCCAGUUUCAACUGACUAAGGCAAGCACCACCAAGCCAGGACAAGAAGAUAUGACAGCAGUAACUGACAGCUAACCCAAGACUCUGGACCAGGCUUUCAACCCCCAACCUUGUCAACACUUUUGGACUGCUUUUAAAAAAUUUUUUGAAUGUCUGUUUCACAGAAAAUGAUAAAUAAUGCUAACACUGUCUCAAAGGUAAGGUUCCCUUCCCAGACACCAGGGUCCUGCUGUCUCACUGUGCACAUAUUAGAUCUCUUUUGAAAACUUGAAAGAAUGUAGUCCUGUUGAUAUGAUGUACGCUUUUUGUUCUGGUAAGGUAGGAGACUGCUGAAAACCGAGCUUUGACAGAGAAGUCCUCAGAGAUACUGAGGGGCUCCUCCCGGGGUAUAGGACUCCAUUUGGCUCAAAUAAAACUCUUCUCUAUUCUUCAGCAUGGAUUGAUUAUUGAUUAUUUCCAUUGACAAUUCCAGAAGACUCCAGUUCAGUAGAGGACAAACUAAUAUUAGUGCCUCUUAAGAUGAUGCAGUGGGAAAUAUGCAACAGCUAUGUGGUAUUCUAGCCCCAAAUGUUCAACCUAAAUCCAGUCAUGAAGAAACAGACCAAUCAAGAUGGUGGGACAUUCUGCAAGACAACUGACCUGGACUCUUAAAAAAAAAAUCGAAGUCAUAAAAGGGAAAAAUAAAAGGCAAAACUGUUCUAGAUUAAAAGAUUAAGGAGAUAUGACAACCAAAGGCACUGGAGGAUCUUUGAUUAUAUCCUGGAGUUUUUAAAGUCAGUUAUAAGGACAUUAUUGGGACAGUUAGAGAAAUCUGAAUCUAGACAGUGUUUAGGUAUUAUUAUAUGUAGUUCCUGCUGGGUGGGAGAAUGGAAUUUUCUUGGUUGGGUUAAUGGAAUUUUGCUUACGUAGGGGAAUGUCCUAAAUCUUAGGAGAUACAUUUUUUAAAACGCAGUUAGGAAUGAAGUCUUGACGUUUGCAUUUCAUCUUUGAAAUUGUUGAGCAAAAACUUUUAGAUUGUGUGUGUUUGUGUGUUUGAUCCACAACAGCCAGGCCACUGUGAAUGGUAUAGAAUAAGAUGUUGGUAAUAGGGACUAGAUCUCAUGCAUUGUGAGUGCUGCUGGAACAGACUGUGCACGGCCUGUAUACCCACCAGUAGUUGGAAAGGAGAGAUGGGCGUGAAGUGGGGGCACACAAGGACAAAUUGGAGCUCACAUGUGUCUCCUACCCCCUCUAUCCUCAAUGAUGCAAGUGACCAGCAACAGAACUGGUGUCCUUUGCCACAGAGAUGCACGCAUAGCUGGCCCAGGACUCAGAGAAGCCAAAGAAGGAGACCUAGCAGGAGCCAGGGAGGCUACAGGCCCAGGUACUGUCCCCAAACCAACAAGGCAAGUUAGCAGCUCAGUGACAACCACAUGCCAGCUGCAGCAGAGCCUGACGCCUUCCACCAAAGUGCAAAGCAUUAAAAAAAAAAAAGAAAAGUCAUGCUCCCUUCCAAUCUUGAGCAGAUUUAUUUUGUGGCCAACCCAACUUGGAAUCACACAGGGGAGAGAAUUCUAGGAUAUUUGGGUCCAGCUGAGCUAAGUUGACACACUACAAAGUGGAGCAUGAGUGAGAAAGAGAGAGAGAGAAAGAAAACAAAUGUAACAAAAUAUUAAAAAUUGGUGAAUCUAGGUGAAGAGGGCUCAAUUUUUUUUGUAGAUUUGAAAUUUUAAAUAAAAAGUUGGAGGUGGGGAAAAGGCACCAGGCCCAGAUGGUUUCACAGCUGAGUUUUAUCUAGGCUUUAAAGAUCAGAUUAUUCCUAUAUAAUCCCUAUAUAGUUACACAAACUAUUCUAGACCAUAGGAAAAUACAGAAAAUUCCAGAAAAUAAAUAUAUGUAUGUAUAUGCAUGACUGGGACAUUGUGCUGUACACUAGAAAUUGACACAUUGUAAUUGAAUGUACUUCAAUUGAGAAGUAAUAAUAAAAAAAAGAAAGUGAAGAAAAGUCUACACUCAAAUGAUUCAGAAGAAAGCAUAUACAGAUAUACAUAUACAUACAUGAAUGUUUUAUAUAUAUAAAACCCCAUACUGUAUAAAAUCCCAUACUGUGUGUGUAUAUCUAUAUAUUCUUAUGUAUGUUUGUACGUGUGUAUCCAGAUAGAAUCCUAUGAUAUAAAAUAUAGUUUAAUCUGAGUAAAGGGUACAUGAGUUUGCUCUUUGUACUAUUUCUAUUCUUGCAACCUUUCUGUAAGUUUGAAAUUAUUUCCAAAUAAAAAGUUUUAAAAAUU
This is a non-coding RNA of Vicugna pacos (alpaca), 3614 nucleotides long. NCBI's taxonomy places the organism in Eukaryota, Metazoa, Chordata, Mammalia, Artiodactyla, Camelidae. The record is from RefSeq and is a predicted model, not a curated record.